RNAcentral lists this ribosomal RNA (468 nucleotides) under uncultured bacterium. Its description in RNAcentral is "partial 16S ribosomal RNA". It matches the Rfam family "Bacterial small subunit ribosomal RNA", at positions 28 to 507 of the family's 1533-position model. The record is from RNAcentral.
GACGAACGCUGGCGGCGUGCUUAACACAUGCAAGUCGAACGGAAAGGCCCUGCUUUUGUGGGGUGCUCGAGUGGCGAACGGGUGAGUAACACGUGAGUAACCUGCCCUUGACUUUGGGAUAACUUCAGGAAACUGGGGCUAAUACCGGAUAUGAGCUCCUGCUGCAUGGGGGGGGGUGGAAAGUUUCGGCGGUUGGGGAUGGACUCGCGGCUUAUCAGCUUGUUGGUGGGGUAGUGGCUUACCAAGGCUUUGACGGGUAGCCGGCCUGAGAGGGUGACCGGCCACAUUGGGACUGAGAUACGGCCCAGACUCCUACGGGAGGCAGCAGUGGGGAAUAUUGCACAAUGGGCGGAAGCCUGAUGCAGCAACGCCGCGUGCGGGAUGACGGCCUUCGGGUUGUAAACCGCUUUCGCCUGUGACGAAGCGUGAGUGACGGUAAUGGGUAAAGAAGCACCGGCUAACUACGUG